RNAcentral lists this ribosomal RNA (450 nucleotides) under uncultured bacterium. Its description in RNAcentral is "bacterial SSU rRNA". It matches the Rfam family "Bacterial small subunit ribosomal RNA", at positions 61 to 478 of the family's 1533-position model. The record is from RNAcentral.
GUCGAGCGAGCGGAACCAACAGAUUUACUUCGGUAAUGACGUUGGGAAAGCGAGCGGCGGAUGGGUGAGUAACACGUGGGGAACCUGCCCCUAAGUCUGGGAUACCAUUUGGAAACAGGUGCUAAUACCGGAUAAUAAAGCAGAUCGCAUGAUCAGCUUUUGAAAGGCGGCGUAAGCUGUCGCUAAGGGAUGGCCCCGCGGUGCAUUAGCUAGUUGGUAAGGUAACGGCUUACCAAGGCGACGAUGCAUAGCCGAGUUGAGAGACUGAUCGGCCACAUUGGGACUGAGACACGGCCCAAACUCCUACGGGAGGCAGCAGUAGGGAAUCUUCCACAAUGGACGCAAGUCUGAUGGAGCAACGCCGCGUGAGUGAAGAAGGUUUUCGGAUCGUAAAGCUCUGUUGUUGGUGAAGAAGGAUAGAGGUAGUAACUGGCCUUUAUUUGACGGUAA